This 459-nucleotide ribosomal RNA is filed under the name uncultured bacterium. Its description in RNAcentral is "partial 16S ribosomal RNA". It matches the Rfam family "Bacterial small subunit ribosomal RNA", at positions 338 to 795 of the family's 1533-position model. The record is from RNAcentral.
CCUACGGGGGGCUGCAGUGAGGAAUAUUGGUCAAUGGGCGCGAGCCUGAACCAGCCAAGUAGCGUGAAGGAUGACUGCCCUACGGGUUGUAAACUUCUUUUAUAAAGGAAUAAAGUCAGGCACGUGUGCCUUUUUGUUUGUACUUUAUGAAUCAGGAUCGGCUAACUCCGUUCCAGCAGCCGCGGUAAUACGGAGGAUCCGAGCGUUAUCCUGCUUUAUUGGGUUUAAAGGGAGCGUAGAGGGGUUGUUAAGUCAGUGGUAAAAGCCCGGGGCUCAACCCCGGCGAGCAGUUGAAACUGGCUGUCUUGAGAUGUCGAGAGGUAUGCGGAAUGCGCAGUGUAGCGGUGAAAUGCUUAGAUAUUGCGCAGAACGCCGAUUGCGAAGGCAGCAUACUGGCGGCGAUCUGACGCUGAGGCACGAAAGCGUGGGUAUCGAACAGGAUUAGAUACCCGGGUAGUC